Molecule: ribosomal RNA, 253 nt
Filed under: uncultured bacterium
Lineage: Bacteria
Description: partial 16S ribosomal RNA
Rfam family: Bacterial small subunit ribosomal RNA
Source: RNAcentral
UACGUAGGGUGCGAGCGUUAAUCGGAAUUACUGGGCGUAAAGCGUGCGCAGGCGGUUUUGUAAGACAGAUGUGAAAUCCCCGGGCUUAACCUGGGAACUGCAUUUGUGACUGCAAGACUAGAGUGCGGUAGAGGAUGGCGGAAUUCCCGGUGUAGCAGUGAAAUGCGUAGAGAUCGGGAGGAACAUCUGUGGCGAAGGCGGCCAUCUGGACCAGCACUGACACUGAGGCACGAAAGCGUGGGGAGCAAACAGG